This 75-nucleotide antisense RNA is filed under the name Mycobacterium lacus. Its description in RNAcentral is "ASpks TB sRNA". It matches the Rfam family "ASpks TB sRNA". The record is from Rfam by way of RNAcentral. Lineage: Bacteria; Bacillati; Actinomycetota; Actinomycetes; Mycobacteriales; Mycobacteriaceae.
UUUGAUCGAACCCACCCACAACGGCCGCUCCGACGACCGGCCCUGCCCAUAGGUGGCCAACAAUGCCUGCGCUUC